This is a long non-coding RNA of Corapipo altera (White-ruffed manakin), 354 nucleotides long. RefSeq lists it as uncharacterized. The transcript has 3 exons. The record is from RefSeq and is a predicted model, not a curated record. Lineage: Eukaryota; Metazoa; Chordata; Aves; Passeriformes; Pipridae.
CAAGCAUGUGACAGAUGUGACAUUAGCAGCACAGCUCAGUGUGCUUGCAGACCAGAUGUCUCUUGGAUGCUCAGAGAUAUUGAACACUGGUUAUUUUCAUGGGAAUGGUAGGUGAUCACACCCACAGUACCAUCCGGACUCUCUGCUGCUCUGGAGCUGCUGGAGUUUCCACUCAGAGAUCCCUCCCUCGCAAUUUAUUGGAAGAACAGACAGAAACAUGAAGGGAAAAAAUCCUUUUACACAUGAAGAUGGUAUCAGCAUCGUAAAAUGAUUUUCACUUUAGCAAAAAAAGAAAACCAAUAGCAAUCCGGUAUUUGGGUGCAUCAGGGAAACAAACAGAACAGUUAACACCGU